GGAUUCCCCCCCAGGAAGUGGGGAGAGCAAAUAACUGGAAACUUUUUGGGGCCCUGUUUUUUACCCCCCGAGGAGAAUUUAGCAUUCAGUAAGCGGAGGAAAAAGACACUAACCCAGGAUUCUCCCUAGUAACGGCGGAGUGAACGGGAGAUUACCCCCAGCGCCCGAAGCCUUAUCUGCCAUUUGUGGACCAGGGCCAAUGUGGCGUUUAGGCGCCAAGCCUGGGGAACGCUAUUUCUACUCGAAGUCCAGCUCCGAUUAUGGCUUGGAUUUGUUCCUAAGAGGGUGAAAGGCCCGUACGAGUAGAAGUUGUGUAUCUAUAGUGUUCCCUUAUGCUUGUGCUUUAGAGUCGGAUUGCUUGAGAAUGCAGUCCAAAGUGGGUGGUAAACUCCAUCCAAGGCUAAAUACUGGCACGAAUCCGAUAGUAGACAAGUACCGCGAGGGAAAGUUGAAAAGUACUCUGAAGAGAGAGUAAAUAGUACGUGAACCCGCCUGAAUGGAAGCUGGUGGAGUCAAGCUUCUUGUUGCGUGAAUUGGCCGGGGGUAAAUUUUGUUCUGGGAAUAUUGGAUCUAUUGUCUUGCAAAUAGACUGGCGGUUCGCCGCCUCUCCUGGGCUGGGCAGCUUAUGUUUAUACGGUCCAUAUUUCCUUACCUCUAUGCUAUUUCGCUUGACUAAUGUCACAGUCAAUGUGUCUUGUAACACUGGAUAGUUAAACCAUGUUCGGGCAGGCCUUGCGUUUGCCCAGCGUGGGAUGGCAGGUGGAUGCUUGAGCGUUUUGCUCGUAGUAUCGUAAAUUAUAAGCUAUCUCGCUUGCUGACUGUCUCGUUCUCUUGGUUAUCAGGCAUAUUGGUGCUAUGGCGACGGUGUCCCUUGGGUUGCCGCCGCAAGAACUGUGGUAUCGAAGUAGACUUU
This 913-nucleotide ribosomal RNA is filed under the name Thaparocleidus mutabilis. RNAcentral describes it as "partial 28S ribosomal RNA". It matches the Rfam family "Eukaryotic large subunit ribosomal RNA", at positions 1 to 615 of the family's 3401-position model. Lineage: Eukaryota; Metazoa; Platyhelminthes; Monogenea; Dactylogyridea; Ancylodiscoididae. The record is from RNAcentral.